UCAGAGGUUUCACUCAGUGCAAGGGCUGGAGCCUGGAGGGGGACCGUGGAGAAGGGAGAAGCUGAAUCUUCCAUGGUCAUGUUUUGGGAGUGGUGUCUUGGGAUCCAAACGUGAUAAUGGAGAAAGCAAUGUUGAGAACCAUCCCCACAGGAAAGAAUGAAAACGGCCCGCAGGCCCGUGGAGACUCUUGGAAGCCGCGGUUCUAGUACAAACAGCAGCCAGCAGGUACCACGGCACUGACAGUGACCAGGCGGGACGGAGGACUGCACCAUCAGAGCCACCAGGAUGGCUGGGAGUCAGUGGCAAGUCCUGCACACAUGAGUGGCCUCCAGUCAUCCCUACAAGCUGGUCCGGAUACCACUGCCCUAAUCCGAAGGAAGGCCUUAAAAUGAAAAGCAUCCUCCCCGUGGGGGGAGGAUUUUUCUGAAGGUGGACUUUUGCAUCUUCAGUAAGGAAUUCUGCCACGUGGUCAGCCUCCUUCCCCCACAUGCCCUUUCCCCUCCCCCUCCCCCCACCCCUUUGCCGGACUCCCCGCCCCGCCGCUUUCCAGUGUGUCUGCCGCCUGCACUCAGCUUUUUGGAAUUCAGUGGGUGGCAGGGGUUUUCUCCUCUGUUUCAUGCACUCGGCCAUUCAGGAAGGGAAAAAGUAUGAUCUCUGACACUUGCUUUUUGUGAACAUUUUGAUGAAAAGACAAAUGAGAGUCACAAAUCUUAAGGAAGAUGGUAGAGGAGCUGUGGAAGUCACCUUAUUUCUCACCAGCAGCAGCUCCUCUCUCAGACCAUCCCCAAAACGCUGGCACGUAUCCAACAGCCCGAUUUGGAGAGGAUCCUAGUUAUUCAAGCCCCGAAUACAAACUGUUUGAAAAUGGAGCUCACACCAUGCACGUGAAUAUUUCGCCUCCUCUUAGCUGAUUCCAUCAGCAUGGAUACCAUUAUUCCUACAAUUGCAUGAAUAAUUUAUUUCACCAUUGUAAAAGUUUAAUAAAAGUUUUCUUGUCUUUAUCAAA
Long non-coding RNA from Camelus dromedarius (Arabian camel), 1006 nucleotides. RefSeq lists it as uncharacterized. NCBI's taxonomy places the organism in Eukaryota, Metazoa, Chordata, Mammalia, Artiodactyla, Camelidae. The transcript has 4 exons. The record is from RefSeq and is a predicted model, not a curated record.